Molecule: ribosomal RNA, 1105 nt
Filed under: Chalinidae sp. 2 JV-2020
Lineage: Eukaryota; Metazoa; Porifera; Demospongiae; Haplosclerida; Chalinidae
Description: partial large subunit ribosomal RNA
Source: RNAcentral
AGCUGGCAAUUGACACGGUUGGGCGAAUUGUGGUCUGGAGAGGCAGACUGUCCCGAUCCACUGCUGCUGAGCCCGAAGUUGACUUGGAACGGCACGCCAAAGAGGGUGAGAGCCCCGUAGGGCCUAGAAAUCGGUAGCAGCGGGACGAGGGUCUGUACUCGUAGAGUCGGGUUGUUUGGGAAUGCAGCCCCAAGUGGGUGGUAGACUCCAUCCAAGGCUAAAUACGGGCGCGAGACCGAUAGCUGACAAGUACCGUGAGGGAAAGGUGAAAAGCACUUUGAAGAGAGAGUUCAAUAGACCGUGAAACCGUUGGGAGGGAAGCUCAGGGUGUCGAGGUUGUCGUGCACUGUUCGAGUUCAGCUGGUGGUGGCAGUUUUCUGUUGCUGCUGGUGCACUCUCUUAUGGUGUUUGACCGUCAGUUGGGAAGAGGCGGAGGUCUGUGGUGUCAGUAGUCGGGAGGUACGCCCCGUGUCUCCGUAAGGUGCUCGGGGUGACGUACAGCCGUUCUGCUGUGGUCUCUGUCGUCUUUCAGGUGCGUUUGGAUGUCUGUUCGUCCAKAAAUGGAAGGUGCAGUCUCCCGAAGUGGGGGAUCGGGCCAUUCGCUCGGUUGUUCUGCGUUGUUCAGUCGUGUUCCGUUCUCUCUCCGUUCAGUCUCUGGCUGUCGGGGCUGAGUGCGGCACUUCAGGCAAUCGUCAGUAUCCCGUGUGUUUGUGUCCUGGAAUCUGUGCCAAAGGUGACUGGCGAAGAGUCGUUACCCUGUGCCCCGUCUUGAAACACGGACCAAGGAGUGCAAGAGAUGCGCAAGUCGGAAGGGUUGUGUUGGGGCUUCUCCUCCGGGAGCUGUCCUGCCUGAAAGACCCAUGUGUUUGGAACGGGCGAAGUGAGAGCAAUUCAUUGGUGCGAGAGCCGUGGGGAGACCCGUGGCGCAUCGCUGGCCGAGCUAAGGUCACGCUGUGACCGGUUUCGAGUACGAGCGUAUCUGUUGCGACCCGAAAGAUGGUGAACUAUGCCUGAGGAGGGUGAAGCCAGAGGAAACUCUGGUGGAGGCCCGUAGCGGUUCUGACGUGCAAAUCGAUCGUCGCACUUGGGUAUAGGGGCGAAAGAC